UUUUAUGGAGAGUUUGAUCCUGGCUCAGAGUGAACGCUGGCGGCGUGCCUAAUACAUGCAAGUCGAACGAUGAAGCUUCUAGCUUGCUAGAAGUGGAUUAGUGGCGCACGGGUGAGUAAGGUAUAGUUAAUCUGCCCUACACAAGAGGACAACAGUUGGAAACGACUGCUAAUACUCUAUACUCCUGCUUAACACAAGUUGAGUAGGGAAAGUUUUUCGGUGUAGGAUGAGACUAUAUAGUAUCAGCUAGUUGGUAAGGUAAUGGCUUACCAAGGCUAUGACGCUUAACU
This 290-nucleotide ribosomal RNA is filed under the name Campylobacter coli. RNAcentral describes it as "partial 16S ribosomal RNA". It matches the Rfam family "Bacterial small subunit ribosomal RNA", at positions 1 to 288 of the family's 1533-position model. Lineage: Bacteria; Pseudomonadati; Campylobacterota; Epsilonproteobacteria; Campylobacterales; Campylobacteraceae. The record is from RNAcentral.